Molecule: ribosomal RNA, 454 nt
Filed under: uncultured bacterium
Lineage: Bacteria
Description: partial 16S ribosomal RNA
Rfam family: Bacterial small subunit ribosomal RNA
Source: RNAcentral
UGGGGAAUAUUGCACAAUGGGCGAAAGCCUGAUGCAGCAACGCCGCGUGAGUGAUGAAGGUCUUCGGAUUGUAAAGCUCUGUCUUUUGGGACGAUAAUGACGGUACCAAAGGAGGAAGCCACGGCUAACUACGUGCCAGCAGCCGCGGUAAUACGUAGGUGGCGAGCGUUGUCCGGAUUUACUGGGCGUAAAGGGUGCGUAGGCGGAUGUUUAAGUGAGAUGUGAAAUACCCGGGCUUAACUUGGGUGCUGCAUUUCAAACUGGAUAUCUAGAGUGCAGGAGAGGAGAAUGGAAUUCCUAGUGUAGCGGUGAAAUGCGUAGAGAUUAGGAAGAACACCAGUGGCGAAGGCGAUUCUCUGGACUGUAACUGACGCUGAGGCACGAAAGCGUGGGUAGCAAACAGGAUUAGAUACCCUGGUAGUCCACGCCGUAAACGAUGAGUACUAGGUGUAGG